This 231-nucleotide ribosomal RNA is filed under the name uncultured bacterium. Its description in RNAcentral is "partial 16S ribosomal RNA". It matches the Rfam family "Bacterial small subunit ribosomal RNA", at positions 15 to 236 of the family's 1533-position model. The record is from RNAcentral.
GAUCAUGGCUCAGGAUAAACGCUGGCGGCGCACAUAAGACAUGCAAGUUGAACGGACUUAACCUAUUCUUAACGAUUAGGAGCGGUUAGUGGCGGACUGGUGAGUAAUGUAUAAGUAACCUGCCUAUCAGAGGGGAACAACAGUUGGAAACGACUGCUAAUACCGCAUAUGCCACGAGAAUCACAUGGUUCAAGUGGGAAAGGAGCAAUCCGCUGAUAGAUGGACUUAUAU